UGUUUGCAGUCUGUCUGAACUUUCUGCACUCUGAACACUUCUGUCAUCCAUAUUUAUGUGGCCGCAGAAGUGGACAGAACAGGUGUUUUCUCAAGGCUGAUGCCCACAGGAGUCACAAAUGUCAACUGUUGAAGAGCAAUGGAUUAUUUAAACAAGCCUAAACUUUAAUAUUUGAUGCAGAGCCCAGAGAUCUUAUGUGACUACAGAGAACUCAUACAAUAUGUUACAAGACCGCCAGAAAUAUAUUUACUAUACUGUGACAACACAGAUACUUUUUUUAGCUGAACACUAGAGGGAGGCAUUGCACAGCAUACUGAAACCUGCAUACUGAACUUAUUCUCUUCUGGAAACUUCCAUUGGUGUGGCUCAGAGCCUUCCUUUACCUUCUGUUCUUUUCCACUGUUGACGCGAACAUCAUAUGGUACACAGGUCACAUGCUGGUCACUGAGGUUCCUUCAAAGAAAUCACAUCCCAUUUAAAUCAGGGGGAAAUCUGAGCAGGUCUGACUGAAUUAUUUGUCUUAUCUUGAACACAUUUUUCUCUUACAGUAUUUUUGUAGAUUUUGCAAGA
This is a long non-coding RNA of Carassius auratus (goldfish), 570 nucleotides long. RefSeq lists it as uncharacterized. Lineage: Eukaryota; Metazoa; Chordata; Actinopteri; Cypriniformes; Cyprinidae. The transcript is spliced from 4 exons. The record is from RefSeq and is a predicted model, not a curated record.